GUUUGUUUAAAAUCCUGUUCCCAAACUGACUUUAAGCACUCAUCUAGCCAACAUUCGCUGUUGUGAACAGGUACAAUGACUGACUGCACGGCGCCGGGGGGGCUCCCUGCGGCCCUCUCCGCCUCCGCCAUGGUCGCCUCCGCCCCUCAGGCCGCCCUUUUCUCUUCAGGAACCGCCUCGGAGCGCUGCUGCCCGCCUCAGGACGGCGCAUCCGGCCCGCCCCGCUCCCUCACGCCCUUCCCGCCCGCAGCAGCGGCGCGUGCCCCCCUCCCUCGUGGCGCGUUCGUGGGGAGGCGGUCGCGGAGAGGCCGGAAGCGCCGUGGCGGGGCGGUGCUGCGGGCGGGCCCGGCGCGCUCCGUCGUUUUAAAGCCUCCCGCCGUCGCUGCUCCCCGGUUGUGCUCGGCCGCGUCCCGCCCGGAUCGGGGUUCUUUGGCUCAGGCCUGGCAGGGAUCGAAGGCCGUCUGUAGAGGCGCUCAUAAAUAAGCGUGCCCGCCGUUUCCCCCAUGCUCCCUCGUAUUUGUUCCAGUUAGCACAUCCCAUGCUUUAGACGGCUGCGUUCAGUGCUGCCCUUGUUAUUAUUUCCCCAUCGCCUUAAAAUACGUGCAUUUUCACUAUUAUUAUCAAUCGUCUGCUCAGUGGAGCCGUCGCUGUGCCACCACUCACUUCCUUGAAAGCGCUCACGACAGAAGGGAUGGCAGGACGAGGCCCUGCACAACGACCUGCUCAGAAGUACCAGAAACCCACACAAAGCAGUCCUUGUUGAGCAAAAUCCCGAGAUUACCCGUGUUUAUCUGAGGGCCUGUUACACGGCCGGGCAAUCCAAGGAGCAAACACAGCACAGUUAUCUUAAAACGUUUGCUGGCACACCAGGCUGAGAAUCGGGGAGGUGAGGAGGGCGGCCAGGCGGUAAUUCACCCUGCGAAUCUAUUCCGCAUUAUCUGCACAGCUCCCCCCCAUCCAGCCUGGAUUUAAUCUCUCUGUGAACGGCGUUGCUAAAUGUGGUCGUUUAUUUUUCUGGCGACGAGGACUGCUAGCACGGCUCUGCUGCCUGCAUGCUUUGCUUUGUCUAAGGAAGUUAGCAGAGUGUUGCUUUACUGAUGCUGAACCACACAGAAGGCCCAGUCAGACCAGUGCCUCAAUGUAUGAAGCAGCCCACAAGACACAGGGAGAACCCCUCGCUUCCUUCCCCCAAGGAAAGAGAACAAUCGAAACCACCAGAAGCACUUUCUAAGCUAUGUUCUGCAGCUGACCACAGAGGGUAGCUAAAUACAUCUAUUUCAGUUCCAAAAUCUCAUUUUGGAGUCUUCUGGACAGAGUUUUAAGGGUCCACGAGCAUGCAAAAACCAUUCCGUGGGACUCCACUCCAACCCAGGCAUCCAACUUCACUGCGCAAGCCUUUAU
Molecule: long non-coding RNA, 1401 nt
Filed under: Gallus gallus (chicken)
Lineage: Eukaryota; Metazoa; Chordata; Aves; Galliformes; Phasianidae
Source: RNAcentral